AACCAACCAACUCAGCGCCCAAACAACCAGGUUCUUCGAAGACAGAAGAACCACAAACAGUGAUCGGCGGCCAUCAUGAGCAGUACAGAGAAUGCGAUGACCAGUAGGGCCACGACGACCAAGCUAUUUGGUGUGUCCCUGAA
This 143-nucleotide non-coding RNA is filed under the name Stygamoeba regulata. Lineage: Eukaryota; Discosea; Stygamoebida. The record is from RNAcentral.